This 2243-nucleotide ribosomal RNA is filed under the name Bacillus anthracis (anthrax bacterium). RNAcentral's name for it is "partial 23S ribosomal RNA". It matches the Rfam family "Bacterial large subunit ribosomal RNA", at positions 612 to 2860 of the family's 2925-position model. The record is from RNAcentral. Lineage: Bacteria; Bacillati; Bacillota; Bacilli; Caryophanales; Bacillaceae.
AGAAUGAACCGGCGAGUUACGAUCCCGUGCGAGGUUAAGCUGAAGAGGCGGAGCCGCAGCGAAAGCGAGUCUGAAUAGGGCGUUUAGUACGUGGUCGUAGACCCGAAACCAGGUGAUCUACCCAUGUCCAGGGUGAAGUUCAGGUAACACUGAAUGGAGGCCCGAACCCACGCACGUUGAAAAGUGCGGGGAUGAGGUGUGGGUAGCGGAGAAAUUCCAAUCGAACCUGGAGAUAGCUGGUUCUCCCCGAAAUAGCUUUAGGGCUAGCCUUAAGUGUAAGAGUCUUGGAGGUAGAGCACUGAUUGGACUAGGGGUCCUCAUCGGAUUACCGAAUUCAGUCAAACUCCGAAUGCCAAUGACUUAUCCUUAGGAGUCAGACUGCGAGUGAUAAGAUCCGUAGUCAAAAGGGAAACAGCCCAGACCGCCAGCUAAGGUCCCAAAGUGUGUAUUAAGUGGAAAAGGAUGUGGAGUUGCUUAGACAACUAGGAUGUUGGCUUAGAAGCAGCCACCAUUUAAAGAGUGCGUAAUAGCUCACUAGUCGAGUGACUCUGCGCCGAAAAUGUACCGGGGCUAAAUACACCACCGAAGCUGCGGAUUGAUACCAAUGGUAUCAGUGGUAGGGGAGCGUUCUAAGGACAGUGAAGUCAGACCGGAAGGACUGGUGGAGUGCUUAGAAGUGAGAAUGCCGGUAUGAGUAGCGAAAGACGGGUGAGAAUCCCGUCCACCGAAUGCCUAAGGUUUCCUGAGGAAGGCUCGUCCGCUCAGGGUUAGUCAGGACCUAAGCCGAGGCCGACAGGCGUAGGCGAUGGACAACAGGUUGAUAUUCCUGUACCACCUCUUUAUCGUUUGAGCAAUGGAGGGACGCAGAAGGAUAGAAGAAGCGUGCGAUUGGUUGUGCACGUCCAAGCAGUUAGGCUGAUAAGUAGGCAAAUCCGCUUAUCGUGAAGGCUGAGCUGUGAUGGGGAAGCUCCUUAUGGAGCGAAGUCUUUGAUUCCCCGCUGCCAAGAAAAGCUUCUAGCGAGAUAAAAGGUGCCUGUACCGCAAACCGACACAGGUAGGCGAGGAGAGAAUCCUAAGGUGUGCGAGAGAACUCUGGUUAAGGAACUCGGCAAAAUGACCCCGUAACUUCGGGAGAAGGGGUGCUUUCUUAACGGAAAGCCGCAGUGAAUAGGCCCAAGCGACUGUUUAGCAAAAACACAGCUCUCUGCGAAGCCGUAAGGCGAAGUAUAGGGGGUGACACCUGCCCGGUGCUGGAAGGUUAAGGAGAGGGGUUAGCGUAAGCGAAGCUCUGAACUGAAGCCCCAGUAAACGGCGGCCGUAACUAUAACGGUCCUAAGGUAGCGAAAUUCCUUGUCGGGUAAGUUCCGACCCGCACGAAAGGUGUAACGAUUUGGGCACUGUCUCAACCAGAGACUCGGUGAAAUUAUAGUACCUGUGAAGAUGCAGGUUACCCGCGACAGGACGGAAAGACCCCGUGGAGCUUUACUGUAGCCUGAUAUUGAAUUUUGGUACAGUUUGUACAGGAUAGGCGGGAGCCUUUGAAACCGGAGCGCUAGCUUCGGUGGAGGCGCUGGUGGGAUACCGCCCUGACUGUAUUGAAAUUCUAACCUACGGGUCUUAUCGACCCGGGAGACAGUGUCAGGUGGGCAGUUUGACUGGGGCGGUCGCCUCCUAAAGUGUAACGGAGGCGCCCAAAGGUUCCCUCAGAAUGGUUGGAAAUCAUUCGUAGAGUGCAAAGGCAUAAGGGAGCUUGACUGCGAGACCUACAAGUCGAGCAGGGACGAAAGUCGGGCUUAGUGAUCCGGUGGUUCCGCAUGGAAGGGCCAUCGCUCAACGGAUAAAAGCUACCCCGGGGAUAACAGGCUUAUCUCCCCCAAGAGUCCACAUCGACGGGGAGGUUUGGCACCUCGAUGUCGGCUCAUCGCAUCCUGGGGCUGUAGUCGGUCCCAAGGGUUGGGCUGUUCGCCCAUUAAAGCGGUACGCGAGCUGGGUUCAGAACGUCGUGAGACAGUUCGGUCCCUAUCCGUCGUGGGCGUAGGAAAUUUGAGAGGAGCUGUCCUUAGUACGAGAGGACCGGGAUGGACGCACCGCUGGUGUACCAGUUGUUCUGCCAAGGGCAUAGCUGGGUAGCUAUGUGCGGAAGGGAUAAGUGCUGAAAGCAUCUAAGCAUGAAGCCCCCCUCAAGAUGAGAUUUCCCAUAGCGUAAGCUAGUAAGAUCCCUGAAAGAUGAUCAGGUUGAUAGG